This is a non-coding RNA of Dichanthelium oligosanthes, 131 nucleotides long. The record is from Rfam. NCBI's taxonomy places the organism in Eukaryota, Viridiplantae, Streptophyta, Magnoliopsida, Poales, Poaceae.
GAGAGCCGUGUGAUGGGUGACUAUCUAGCACGGUUCAGAGAGCACGUGUAUGUAGUCUGUGCUGGUGAAUGGAAGCCCCCGCCACAAAAAAGAAGCGGCUUUUCCCACAGCUCUGUCACCAUUGACUCUAU